GUGUAGUAAACAGAUUUUAAGAAUCGUUUAAAUAUUUUACAUUCAAUUUUUACGUUUUAUUUUUAAUCUUUUCUCUGUUAGAUUUGUUGAUUUUUUUAACUUUUUCAGUUAUUGUUAAGGGUUGAAUUUGAUAAAAGGCAAAUAUAUGAAACCAUUGGUAUAAAUUUUAGCUAAUUUUUUUUAUUUUCUUUUUUCUCUGAAUUCAUUUAGACAAAUUAUGAUGACCACUACUUCCUUUGAAGAAAAAAAGAAUAGAUUCACACUUUUUCCCGCUACUAUAUUAAAUUUAUUUCACAUUUCAUUACUAUAGAGAUAUUUUUGUUGAGCAGAGUUCAUAUCAAUCAUCGGAGCUUUUUGCACCAUGAAACAUGUAAUUGUAGUUAAAUGUAAUAAAGGCAACAUUUCAUCAAAUGAUUCACUUUUGUUCAAACCAAACUGCUAUCAUGUACAUGUAUUUCCUUUUUAGCUUUCCCCUUUUUAACUGUUUUAUAAAUCAGUGUAUUGUUUAUGCAUUUUAUCGUUUUUUAAUCAUUUCUGGUAUUUACUUGAUGUGUACUGGAAAAAAAAAAGAAAGAAGACAAGGAAAAAACAAGCUAAAGAUUACACAUUGAUAUAAAAUUCUUAUGCACGUACAUAUCCACACGACUCAUCGGCGAUCUCUUCUGUACUAGGCUCCAAACGAACACACCGUAAACAAUAAUGACAAACCGACACAGGUGUUGAUGGGAUGAUUUUAGGUUCUGUUGGUGGUUGUAACUCCAGUGUUACCGACCCCACUUCGUGACACGGUAGAAAACUGCAGAGCUGUGUUACCACACCUGACUCUAUUACACCGUUCUAUUUCUUCACUACUGCGAAAAAUGUUAAAGCAAGACAAUCUUCCAUUAUCCUACAUAAUACCAAAUAACAGAUGUCCGGUAUCAAGACAGCUCGAUUCAUUCGAGAACUUACCUUUGGUCAUACAUCGGAUGGAAAUUUUCAUGUUGUUUUUGCACGAGGAAGAAAUACUUAAAACUAGCCGAGGAGAGGUGCCGCAUGAUUUUUCGCCGUUCAUAUCCAGGUUCA
Magallana angulata is the source of this 1065-nucleotide long non-coding RNA. RefSeq lists it as uncharacterized. The record is from RefSeq and is a predicted model, not a curated record. The transcript is spliced from 4 exons. NCBI's taxonomy places the organism in Eukaryota, Metazoa, Mollusca, Bivalvia, Ostreida, Ostreidae.